RNAcentral lists this ribosomal RNA (2446 nucleotides) under human gut metagenome. Its description in RNAcentral is "bacterial LSU rRNA". It matches the Rfam family "Bacterial large subunit ribosomal RNA", at positions 14 to 2483 of the family's 2925-position model. The record is from RNAcentral.
AGGGCGCACGGUGGAUGCCUUGGCACUAAGAGCCGAUGAAGGACGUGACUAACGACGAUAUUCUAGGGGGAGCAGUAAGUACGCAUUGAUCCCUAGGUCUCCGAAUGGGGAAACCCAGCUGCUACUAGCAGUUAUUCAUGAGUGAAUACAUAGCUCAUGUAAAGGUAACGCAGAGAACUGAAACAUCUAAGUACCUGCAGGAAGAGAAAGUAAAAACGAUUUCGUAAGUAGCGGCGAGCGAACGCGAAGAAGGGCAAACCAAGAAGCUUGCUUCUUGGGGUUGUAGGACUGCAACGUGGACUUAAGCAUUAUAGUCGAAUAACCUGGGAAGGUUAAUCAAAGAGGGUAAUAAUCCCGUAGACGAAAUAGCGCUUAUACCUAGCAGUAUCCUGAGUAGGGCUGGACACGCGAAAUCCAGUUUGAAUCCGGGAGGACCAUCUCCCAACCCUAAAUACUCCUUAGUGACCGAUAGUGAACCAGUACCGUGAGGGAAAGGUGAAAAGAACCCCGAGAGGGGAGUGAAAUAGCACCUGAAACCGUGUGCCUACAAGAAGUUCGAGCCCGUUAAUGGGUGAGAGCGUGCCUUUUGUAGAAUGAACCGGCGAGUUACGUUAUGAUGCGAGGUUAAGUUGAAGAGACGGAGCCGUAGGGAAACCGAGUCUGAAUAGGGCGACUUAGUAUCAUGAUGUAGACCCGAAACCUAGUGACCUAUCCAUGAGCAGGGUGAAGGUGUGGUAAGACGCACUGGAGGCCCGAACCAGGACACGUUGAAAAGUGUUUGGAUGACUUGUGGAUAGCGGAGAAAUUCCAAACGAACUGGGAGAUAGCUGGUUCUCUCCGAAAUAGCUUUAGGGCUAGCGUCGAAAUGUAAGUGUAUUGGAGGUAGAGCACUGUUUGGGUGAGGGGUCCGUCUAGGAUUACCAAUCUCAGAUAAACUCCGAAUGCUAAUACACAUGUUCGGCAGUCAGACUGCGAGUGCUAAGAUCCGUAGUCGAAAGGGAAACAGCCCAGACCAACAGCUAAGGUCCCAAAAUAUAUGUUAAGUGGAAAAGGAUGUGGGGUUGCACAGACAACUAGGAUGUUAGCUCAGAAGCAGCUAUCAUUCAAAGAGUGCGUAAUAGCUCACUAGUCGAGUGACCCUGCGCCGAAAAUGUACCGGGGCUAAACAUAUUACCGAAGCUUUGGAUUUAAUUUAAUUAAAUGGUAGGAGAGCGUUCUUAACCGCGAUGAAGGUAUACCGUGAGGAGUGCUGGAGCGUUAAGAAGUGAGAAUGCCGGUAUGAGUAGCGCAAGAUAAGUGAGAAUCUUAUCCACCGUAAGACUAAGGUUUCCAGGGGAAGGCUCGUCCGCCCUGGGUUAGUCGGGACCUAAGGCGAGGCCGAAAGGCGUAGUCGAUGGACAACUGGUUGAUAUUCCAGUACUAGAUAUGAUCGUGAUGGAGGGACGCAGUAGGCUAAGAGAUGCCAGUUAAUGGAUUCUGGUCUAAGCAGUGAGGUGUGAGAUGUGUCAAAUGCAUUUCUCUUUAACAUUGAGCUGUGAUGGGGAAGCAACUACGGUUGCGAACUCUCUGAUGUCACACUGCCAAGAAAAGCUUCUAGCGUAAAGUCAUAUCUACCCGUACCGCAAACCGACACAGGUAGUCGAGGCGAGUAGCCUCAGGUGAUCGAGAGAACUCUCGUUAAGGAACUCGGCAAAAUGACCCCGUAACUUCGGGAGAAGGGGUGCUGUAGAAAUACAGCCGCAGUGAAAAGAUCCAAGCAACUGUUUAUCAAAAACACAGCUCUCUGCUAAACCGCAAGGUGAUGUAUAGGGGGUGACGCCUGCCCGGUGCUGGAAGGUUAAGAGGAGUGCUUAGACGUAAGUCGAAGGUAUGAAUUGAAGCCCCAGUAAACGGCGGCCGUAACUAUAACGGUCCUAAGGUAGCGAAAUUCCUUGUCGGGUAAGUUCCGACCCGCACGAAAGGCGUAAUGAUUUGGGCACUGUCUCAACGAGAGACUCGGUGAAAUUUUAGUACCUGUGAAGAUGCAGGUUACCCGCGACAGGACGGAAAGACCCCAUGGAGCUUUACUGCAGUUUGAUAUUGAGUAUCUGUACCACAUGUACAGGAUAGGUAGGAGCCUAUGACCUCGGGACGCCAGUUUCGAGUGAGGCGUUGUUGGGAUACUACCCUUGUGUUAUGGCUACUCUAACCCAGAUAGGUUAUCCCUAUCGGAGACAGUGUCUGACGGGCAGUUUGACUGGGGCGGUCGCCUCCUAAAAGGUAACGGAGGCGCCCAAAGGUUCCCUCAGAAUGGUUGGAAAUCAUUCGCAGAGUGUAAAGGUAUAAGGGAGCUUGACUGCGAGAGCUACAACUCGAGCAGGGACGAAAGUCGGGCUUAGUGAUCCGGUGGUUCCGCAUGGAAGGGCCAUCGCUCAACGGAUAAAAGCUACCCUGGGGAUAACAGGCU